GGAAGCGGGACGGGAAGGCGGAACUCGUAGAGUGGGAAUUGGCUCCCCCGUGAGGGAGGACGUUAAUCUAUUCGUGAGGGAUUGGCCCUCAUGACGCAGGCACCUCUCGUCAGGCCCUAACGCCAACAUUGGGGAUCAAUUUCAACAUGAGGUUUGGAGAGGACAAAUGCCCAAACCAUAGCAGUUGGAGACUUGUUGAAUGUUUCUUAAGAAAGAAGCAAAAGCGAUUCCGAUUCUCUGAGAUCUCCAAAGACAGAUGCGAAACCCGGAGGAAACUAGUCUCGACCUGAAGUCAGUCCCGUCAGUUGUGCCCUGUAGAAACAACCAUCCAUCCUAGGAGACAUAUCAGAUACACACAAUGGACAAACUCCUGUUUUCUCAUUUGUAAUUUGUGAAGAAAGCACUAGUCGACUUAGUAAUUCACUGAGAACGCCGAAUGUUCAGCACUAACACGGGGUUGGAAAGACGACCAUUGCCAUACCCAUGCUCAUGAAGCUGAAAUAUUUCCUACUGCUGCUAUCACACUGAAUAAAAGAAUUCACAAGGCUU
This is a long non-coding RNA of Microcebus murinus (gray mouse lemur), 549 nucleotides long. RefSeq lists it as uncharacterized. The record is from RefSeq and is a predicted model, not a curated record. Lineage: Eukaryota; Metazoa; Chordata; Mammalia; Primates; Cheirogaleidae.